This 330-nucleotide ribosomal RNA is filed under the name uncultured bacterium. Its description in RNAcentral is "bacterial SSU rRNA". It matches the Rfam family "Bacterial small subunit ribosomal RNA", at positions 8 to 334 of the family's 1533-position model. The record is from RNAcentral.
AGAGUUUGAUCCUGGCUCAGAUUGAACGCUGGCGGCAGGCCUAACACAUGCAAGUCGAACGGUAACAGGAAGCAGCUUGCUGCUUUGCUGACGAGUGGCGGACGGGUGAGUAAUGUCUGGGAAACUGCCUGAUGGAGGGGGAUAACUACUGGAAACGGUAGCUAAUACCGCAUAACGUCGCAAGACCAAAGAGGGGGACCUUCGGGCCUCUUGCCAUCGGAUGUGCCCAGAUGGGAUUAGCUAGUAGGUGGGGUAACGGCUCACCUAGGCGACGAUCCCUAGCUGGUCUGAGAGGAUGACCAGCCACACUGGAACUGAGACACGGUCCAG